AUACUAAGUAAACAACACAGUUCUAUGUUAACAUUCACCCUAAUUAUAUCUGUAAUUGCGGAAGCUUCUAAUCAAGGGAUAACCCGAUUAACUGAUUAAAGAAAAUCCUCGAUGAAUCGUGUCAAUCACGUAGCGCGAAGAAUCGACGACCCCGCUUAUGGCAUCGACGACACAAAGGAGUAGAAAAUCGAAGAUCGACGACGCGAAUGGAUCGCGGCUUUGUUCUCGCGGCGAACAAAGAGACAUUUUAAUGAGCAGCGGGGUUAAUCGAAUGUUUGUGGGUAAACCAAACGUCGACGCGAGCUGCGCGCACGGCAUAACAAUGGCCGCCGAAAAUAAUAUGAGGGAAAGGCGGAAGUCUUGAUCGGCGUUUUUACAGGAUAAACUCAAAACACAAAAAACAACGGCGGCAUUUUGAAUGUUUAAAGGAACAAAGAGGAAUAGAUAAUCAGACGUACCGCCGUGAAUCAAUGAAUUCUUCUGUUUCUUCCUGCAUGCGCGUCAAAGUGUCCGCGUGCUUUUUACUCUCACUAAGGAUAAAACAUGAACGCCGAGUAUUCUUUAAAGGUAAUAAAAGGAGAUACAACGAACGAGAGAAACACCAGGAAACAAGAUUAUACCUCCGUGACUUUGCUGCCGAUCUUGCGCAUCACGUUCCACCAGCUAAUCGAAAGCUUCGAGAGUUCUGAGAAUAAUUGGAUGCGCUCAUAGCGGAUAAUCCCCCGGACGAGGCUAUUUCACCGUUUUAUGGCUUCUUUCGAAGGAAAUUUUAAUCGCCGAGUGUCAUAUCAUAACUUUAGUUGUCAAUAAACAGUCUUUAAAAAAAAAAAAAAUUGUAUUCUACGUUUAUAAAAUAUGCCACUGGCGGAUACUUUCUCUCUGAAUCUAGUGCCCGAAAAAAUGGUCGCCGCCCAUGUGUUAGCCUGACAAAUUUGAACAAUACCCAACAAGGAACACAAGAUAAAUUCUAUUAAAAUUCUGUAAUCAAAACAACAAAACUUUCUCUUGUCUUAAUCACAAUACCCUAUAAAUUGCGUAGAUUUCUUUUUCUCCGACUAAUAUUUCAACAUGGCCGCCGCAUACGUCGACCCCUUAUGGAACAACGCAGGAGGAAGCCUCCCCCCCCCCCCCCCCCCCAAGCCCAUAAGUGGAAUUAUAUUCCGCACGUUCCACGGUAGUAUGUUUCUCGACAGAGUUUGCAAAUGUUCCUCCGCAGUGAGUAUUUGCAUUUUAUCGGUCGAUUUCAUUGUCUGAACCCUACCGUUAAU
Long non-coding RNA from Frieseomelitta varia, 1268 nucleotides. RefSeq lists it as uncharacterized. The record is from RefSeq and is a predicted model, not a curated record. NCBI's taxonomy places the organism in Eukaryota, Metazoa, Arthropoda, Insecta, Hymenoptera, Apidae. The transcript is spliced from 3 exons.